RNAcentral lists this ribosomal RNA (385 nucleotides) under uncultured bacterium. RNAcentral describes it as "bacterial SSU rRNA". It matches the Rfam family "Bacterial small subunit ribosomal RNA", at positions 32 to 412 of the family's 1533-position model. The record is from RNAcentral.
AAUCAACGCUGGCGGCGUGCCUCAGACAUGCAAGUCGAACGAUUAAACUUUCCUUCGGGAAAGAUAUAAAGUGGCGCACGGGUGAGUAACACGUAGGUAAUGUACCUUUGGGUGGGAAUAACCAUCGGAAACGAUGGCUAAUACCGCAUAAUGCAGCGGCAUCGCAAGAUGACAGUUGUUAAAGAUUUAUCGCCUAAAGAGCAGCCUGCGGCAGAUUAGGUAGNGGUAAGGUAAUGGCUUACCAAGCCUGCGAUCUGUAACCGACCUGAGAGGGUGGUCGGUCACACUGACACUGAAUAACGGGUCAGACUCCUACGGGAGCAGCAGUCGGGAAUUUUGGGCAAUGGGCGAAAGCCUGACCCAGCAACGCCGCGUGAAGGACGAA